Molecule: unclassified non-coding RNA, 20 nt
Filed under: Chlamydomonas reinhardtii
Lineage: Eukaryota; Viridiplantae; Chlorophyta; Chlorophyceae; Chlamydomonadales; Chlamydomonadaceae
Description: small RNA Cre_0925
Source: RNAcentral
CAGCCUCUGACGCAGCCCGC